Labeo rohita (rohu) is the source of this 247-nucleotide long non-coding RNA. RefSeq lists it as uncharacterized. NCBI's taxonomy places the organism in Eukaryota, Metazoa, Chordata, Actinopteri, Cypriniformes, Cyprinidae. The record is from RefSeq and is a predicted model, not a curated record. The transcript has 3 exons.
AGUGACAUAAAUCAUGAUGGAGUGGUGCGUGAAGAUUUGUACAUAUUCCCUGAUCUUUUUCAACAUUCUGGUCAUUAUGGUGGGUUUUGGACUAGCUGCUCUGGGAACAUGGUGUAUGUUCAUUGCUUCAGCCAUAGCAGCUUCAAAAACUGGUGUGAUGUUUAUCGUCCCUGGUAUUCUGAUGAUGCUGGUCGCUGUCGGCGGCAAUUAUGCCGCAUGUAGCCAAAAAAAAACUGCUUUAAAUGUG